GCCUGGCUAGCUUAGUCGGUAGAGCAUGAGACUCUUAAUCUCAGGGUCGUAGGUUUGAGUCCCACGUCUGGCG
Schistosoma rodhaini is the source of this 73-nucleotide non-coding RNA. NCBI's taxonomy places the organism in Eukaryota, Metazoa, Platyhelminthes, Trematoda, Strigeidida, Schistosomatidae. The record is from Rfam.